CUGCAUGGAUGACAUGGUCCAUAGUUAGUGCUCGUAAGAUGUACAUCGUGUGGGCUAGGUACCAAUCGAGUGGAACUGUUUUUCUAGUAUCGUUAGGGGAAAGGCAUUGAUAGGGUACUUACCUCGGGUAUGUUAUAUACCGCAAGUCAUGGAUGACACGGAAGUUUCCUGGAUCUCGUGGGUACAACAUACAACCUUUGCAGAGUGUUAAACUAUUCGAAUAGCUGUGUACACGGUCAAGGACAGUUGGGUAAUCCUGCUUAAACUACGUCUAGACGUUUCCGCAUAAAGCAAGUGUGAGUGUGUUAGUGUUCAAGGAGUUAUCUGAGUAAGAUUUGAUAUGACCAAGUUUGGUGACUUGGCAUAUUGGGUGAACCCGAAGUGUUCAUCCCAGAGCGGAUAUGUUGAUAUAUGUAACCUGUUCUUCUAAAUACCAUCUAGCUUAUGUUGCACAUCCAUCUAUGAUCAUGUUUAUUUACAAUCAAGUUGUUGUCCACCAAUACUGCAUAUUACUUGUUAUCAUAUCAACUGCAUUAUCCAUAUCAUGGGUUGUUUGCGAGUACAUUCAAAGUACUCACUGGCUUGUCACUGGUUAUGUUAUUGACCAGACAUGGAAGGAUCGAAGUUUGGAGAAUAAUUUGUCAUCGGAGACGGACUUGCGAACUAGGACACUUCCCAGUCAGAAUGCCUGUUGGUGUAGGUUGAUGGCAUGGGCACCCACUUAGCCCGAAGAUUACGCUAGUAGAUGUAUCGGUGUGAUUUGGCCUUAUAGGCCCUACCUAUGUGAACUUGACCUUCAUGGUCAUUUGAUGUACUAUUUCGGUAUGUGGGAUGUAAGACUCCUAUUAUUCAGUAUCUGUGUGUUCGGUGAGCAUUGAUCUCUGGGAUCAUUGACCACGUUC
This 902-nucleotide long non-coding RNA is filed under the name Hordeum vulgare. RNAcentral's name for it is "long non-coding RNA (HVUL_LNC015690)". The record is from RNAcentral. Lineage: Eukaryota; Viridiplantae; Streptophyta; Magnoliopsida; Poales; Poaceae.